CCUCCUUUGUUCUUCAGUGGUUCAUCUUUUCCAAUGGGCGAAAGCCUGAUCCAGCCAUGCCGCGUGUGUGAAGAAGGCCUUCGGGUUGUAAAGCACUUUCAGUGGGGAAGAAAGCCUUGGGGCUAAUACCCUCGAGGAAGGACAUCACCCACAGAAGAAGCACCGGCUAACUCCGUGCCAGCAGCCGCGGUAAUACGGAGGGUGCGAGCGUUAAUCGGAAUUACUGGGCGUAAAGCGCGCGUAGGCGGUCUGAUAAGCCGGUUGUGAAAGCCCCGGGCUCAACCUGGGAACGGCAUCCGGAACUGUCAGGCUAGAGUGCAGGAGAGGAAGGUAGAAUUCCCGGUGUAGCGGUGAAAUGCGUAGAGAUCGGGAGGAAUACCAGUGGCGAAGGCGGCCUUCUGGACUGACACUGACGCUGAGGUGCGAAAGCGUGGGUAGCAAACAGGAUUAGAUACCCCUGUAGUC
RNAcentral lists this ribosomal RNA (465 nucleotides) under Vreelandella stevensii. RNAcentral's name for it is "partial 16S ribosomal RNA". It matches the Rfam family "Bacterial small subunit ribosomal RNA", at positions 338 to 795 of the family's 1533-position model. The record is from RNAcentral. Lineage: Bacteria; Pseudomonadati; Pseudomonadota; Gammaproteobacteria; Oceanospirillales; Halomonadaceae.